RNAcentral lists this ribosomal RNA (138 nucleotides) under uncultured eukaryote. RNAcentral describes it as "partial 18S ribosomal RNA". It matches the Rfam family "Eukaryotic small subunit ribosomal RNA", at positions 1299 to 1458 of the family's 1831-position model. The record is from RNAcentral.
UGGUGGAGCGAUUUGUCUGGUUAAUUCCGAUAACGAACGAGACUCUGGCCUACUAAAUAGACGAAAGAUCAUUUAUGGUCUAUCGCAGCUUCUUAGAGGGACGGGCGGCGUAUAGCCGCACGAGAAUGAGCAAUAACA